AUUAUUUUUUAUGCAUUCGUAAGAAAGAUACAGCAAUUUAGAGGUUAGUGAUUGGAAGUAAAAAAAUCUUUGUAUUGUGCUACCUUAAAACGAUAUUAAAAAAUUCUUUUUCACUAACGUUAAGAAAAAUACCAUUGGUAGGAAAAACUCAUACACUUUUGAAAAAAUUGCAUGUGGCGUCAACCAGGCCCCCCCCCCCCCAAAAAAAAAUGACCGUCAGAAAGCUCUUGGAAUAGUUGAUGCCGGCAUGCGUGUUGCUGACAUUGUGGUUCGAUGUAAAGUGCAUAAGGCAACAGUUUAGAGACUAACACAUAUCGACAAAUUGCAACUGCACAGGAUAGGUCAAUAUCUCUUAGACCAAAAAAAAAGCUAUCGUCAAGGGAGGAGCGCUACCUUCGCUUUACGUCAACACGUGACAAGUUUUUUCCGGCCACUAGAGUAGUGCCUUGUCUAAGGGCAGCUGCUGGUGUACCUACCAAUCCUUCAUUCGUGCACUUAGGGUAUGGCUGAGAAAUUGAUUUCGAAUAACACUCAAUUUUGCGUUUUGACCCUCCCGCGC
RNAcentral lists this long non-coding RNA (559 nucleotides) under Mytilus galloprovincialis (Mediterranean mussel). Lineage: Eukaryota; Metazoa; Mollusca; Bivalvia; Mytilida; Mytilidae. The record is from RNAcentral.